AGUGAACGCUGGCGGUAGGCCUAACACAUGCAAGUCGAACGGCAGCACAGUAAGAGCUUGCUCUUACGGGUGGCGAGUGGCGGACGGGUGAGGAAUACAUCGGAAUCUACUUUUUCGUGGGGGAUAACGUAGGGAAACUUACGCUAAUACCGCAUACGACCUGCGGGUGAAAGCAGGGGAUCUUCGGACCUUGCGCGAUUGAAUGAGCCGAUGUCGGAUUAGCUAGUUGGCGGGGUAAAGGCCCACCAAGGCGACGAUCCGUAGCUGGUCUGAGAGGAUGAUCAGCCACACUGGAACUGAGACACGGUCCAGACUCCUACGGGAGGCAGCAGUGGGGAAUAUUGGACAAUGGGCGCAAGCCUGAUCCAGCCAUACCGCGUGGGUGAAGAAGGCCUUCGGGUUGUAAAGUCCUUUUGUUGGGAAAGAAAAGCAGCAGGUUAAUACCCCGCUGUUCUGACGGUACCCAAAGAAUAAGCACCGGCUAACUUCGUG
This 492-nucleotide ribosomal RNA is filed under the name uncultured bacterium. RNAcentral's name for it is "partial 16S ribosomal RNA". It matches the Rfam family "Bacterial small subunit ribosomal RNA", at positions 29 to 507 of the family's 1533-position model. The record is from RNAcentral.